This 427-nucleotide ribosomal RNA is filed under the name uncultured beta proteobacterium. RNAcentral's name for it is "bacterial SSU rRNA". It matches the Rfam family "Bacterial small subunit ribosomal RNA", at positions 355 to 774 of the family's 1533-position model. The record is from RNAcentral. Lineage: Bacteria; Pseudomonadati; Pseudomonadota; Betaproteobacteria.
UGGGGAAUUUUGGACAAUGGGCGAAAGCCUGAUCCAGCCAUGCCGCGUGAGUGAAGAAGGCCUUCGGAUUGUAAAGCUCUUUUAGUCGGAAAGAAAGAGUCGCAAUGAAUAAUUGUGAUUUAUGACGGUACCGACAGAAAAAGCACCGGCUAACUACGUGCCAGCAGCCGCGGUAAUACGUAGGGUGCGAGCGUUAAUCGGAAUUACUGGGCGUAAAGGGUGCGCAGGCGGUUUUGCAAGUCAGAUGUGAAAGCCCCGGGCUUAACCUGGGAAUUGCGUUUGAAACUACAAGGCUAGAGUGCAGCAGAGGGGAGUGGAAUUCCAUGUGUAGCAGUGAAAUGCGUAGAGAUGUGGAAGAACACCGAUGGCGAAGGCAGCUCCCUGGGUUGACACUGACGCUCAUGCACGAAAGCGUGGGGAGCAAACA